GACGAACGCUGGCGGCGUGCUUAACACAUGCAAGUCGAACGGAAAGGCCCUGCUUUUGUGGGGUGCUCGAGUGGCGAACGGGUGAGUAACACGUGAGUAACCUGCCCUUGACUUUGGGAUAACUUCAGGAAACUGGGGCUAAUAUCGGAUAGGAGCUCCUGCUGCAUGGUGGGGGUUGGAAAGUUUCGGCGGUUGGGGAUGGACUCGCGGCUUAUCAGCUUGUUGGUGGGGUAGUGGCUUACCAAGGCUUUGACGGGUAGCCGGCCUGUGAGGGUGACCGGCCACAUUGGGACUGAGAUACGGCCCAGACUCCUACGGGAGGCAGAAGUGGGGAAUAUUGCACAAUGGGCGGAAGCCUGAUGCAGCAACGCCGCGUGCGGGAUGACGGCCUUCUGGUUGUAAACCGCUUUCGCCUGUGACGAAGCGUGAGUGACGGUAAUGAGUAAAGAAGCACCGGCUAACUACGUG
Molecule: ribosomal RNA, 468 nt
Filed under: uncultured bacterium
Lineage: Bacteria
Description: partial 16S ribosomal RNA
Rfam family: Bacterial small subunit ribosomal RNA
Source: RNAcentral